GAGUUAAGGGUGGGAGUUAAAAUCUCCUUUCUUUG
This 35-nucleotide transfer RNA is filed under the name Scombrops boops. RNAcentral's name for it is "partial tRNA-Pro". Lineage: Eukaryota; Metazoa; Chordata; Actinopteri; Scombriformes; Scombropidae. The record is from RNAcentral.